Molecule: transfer RNA, 75 nt
Filed under: Sphaerodactylus townsendi
Lineage: Eukaryota; Metazoa; Chordata; Lepidosauria; Squamata; Sphaerodactylidae
Description: tRNA-Ala
Source: RNAcentral
GGAGAAGUUGUGGCUCAGUGGAAGAACCUCUGGUUUGCUUGCAAAAGAUCCCAGGUUCAAUCCUUGGCAUCUCCA